GGUUAAGCGACUAAGCGUACACGGUGGAUGCCCUGGCAGUCAGAGGCGAUGAAGGACGUGCUAAUCUGCGAUAAGCGUCGGUAAGGUGAUAUGAACCGUUAUAACCGGCGAUUUCCGAAUGGGGAAACCCAGUGUGAUUCGUCACACUAUCAUUAACUGAAUCCAUAGGUUAAUGAGGCGAACCGGGGGAACUGAAACAUCUAAGUACCCCGAGGAAAAGAAAUCAACCGAGAUUCCCCCAGUAGCGGCGAGCGAACGGGGAGCAGCCCAGAGCCUGAAUCAGUGUGUGUGUUAGUGGAAGCGUCUGGAAAGGCGUGCGAUACAGGGUGACAGCCCCGUACACAAAAAUGCACAUACUGUGAGCUCGAUGAGUAGGGCGGGACACGUGGUAUCCUGUCUGAAUAUGGGGGGACCAUCCUCCAAGGCUAAAUACUCCUGACUGACCGAUAGUGAACCAGUACCGUGAGGGAAAGGCGAAAAGAACCCCGGCGAGGGGAGUGAAAAAGAACCUGAAACCGUGUACGUACAAGCAGUGGGAGCACGCUUAGGCGUGUGACUGCGUACCUUUUGUAUAAUGGGUCAGCGACUUAUAUUCUGUAGCAAGGUUAACCGAAUAGGGGAGCCGAAGGGAAACCGAGUCUUAACUGGGCGUUAAGUUGCAGGGUAUAGACCCGAAACCCGGUGAUCUAGCCAUGGGCAGGUUGAAGGUUGGGUAACACUAACUGGAGGACCGAACCGACUAAUGUUGAAAAAUUAGCGGAUGACUUGUGGCUGGGGGUGAAAGGCCAAUCAAACCGGGAGAUAGCUGGUUCUCCCCGAAAGCUAUUUAGGUAGCGCCUCGUGAAUUCAUCUCCGGGGGUAGAGCACUGUUUCGGCAAGGGGGUCAUCCCGACUUACCAACCCGAUGCAAACUGCGAAUACCGGAGAAUGUUAUCACGGGAGACACACGGCGGGUGCUAACGUCCGUCGUGAAGAGGGAA
RNAcentral lists this ribosomal RNA (980 nucleotides) under Shigella flexneri 2a. RNAcentral's name for it is "partial 23S ribosomal RNA". It matches the Rfam family "Bacterial large subunit ribosomal RNA", at positions 1 to 1021 of the family's 2925-position model. The record is from RNAcentral. RNAcentral also lists the same sequence under 1 other name. Lineage: Bacteria; Pseudomonadati; Pseudomonadota; Gammaproteobacteria; Enterobacterales; Enterobacteriaceae.